UGCAGUCGAGCGGGCUACGCUUCCACCGAGUUUCCGCCCCGGCGUCUUUGCUCCCGGAGCGCUCUGUUGCUUACGCGCAGCAGAGGCGCUUCUUUGCGGACGGGAGGGGGUGCGGGAAUUGGGUGGAAGCGUGGUCAGCGGCGAACGGUCGCGUAACACGUAGGGAACCUGCCCGAAAGACCGGGACAACUCUCCGAAAGGGGGGCUAAUACCGGAUGGGGCCGCUCUAAGACCUCUUGGAGCGAUUAAACCCUCGGCAACGGGGGCUUUCGGAGGGGCCUGCGGCCUAUCAGCUAGAUGGCGGAGUGACGGCCCACCAUGGCGACGACGGGUAGCUGGUCUGAGAGGAUGGUCAGCCGGACUGGGACUGAGAGACGGCCCAGACUCCUACGGGGGGCAGCAAUUAGGAAUCUUGCGCAAUGGGGGCAACCCUGACGCAGCGACGCCGCGUGGAGGAGGAAGUCCUUCGGGAUGUAAACUCCUUUUCUUCAGGAAGAAACAAAUGACGGUACUGGAGGAACAAGCCCCGGCUAACUACGUGCCAGCAGCCGCGGUAAUACGUAGGGGGCGAGCGUUGUCCGAAGUUACUGGGCGUAAAGGGCGCGUAGGCGGGGGGCCAAGUCCGCUGUGAAAGCCCGGAGCUUAACUCCGGUAGGUCGGUGGAGACUGGUCCUCUUGAAGAGGCUAGAGGGAGAUGGAAUUACCGGUGUAGCGGUGAAAUGCGUAGAGAUCGGUAGGAACACCCGUGGCGAAAGCGGUCUCCUGGGGCCUUCUUGACGCUGAGGCGCGAAAGCUGGGGGAGCGAACGGGAUUAGAUACCCCGGUAGUCCCAGCCCUAAACGAUGGAUACUAGGUGUGCGGGGUAUCGACCCCC
RNAcentral lists this ribosomal RNA (874 nucleotides) under uncultured bacterium. RNAcentral describes it as "bacterial SSU rRNA". It matches the Rfam family "Bacterial small subunit ribosomal RNA", at positions 56 to 840 of the family's 1533-position model. The record is from RNAcentral.